RNAcentral lists this unclassified non-coding RNA (247 nucleotides) under rhizosphere metagenome. RNAcentral's name for it is "partial ribosomal RNA internal transcribed spacer region". The record is from RNAcentral.
GUAGGUGAACCUGCGGAAGGAUCAUUAACGAGUUAGGGUCUUUCAGGCCCGACCUCCCAACCCUUUGUCUAUUGAACCUCUGUUGCUUCGGCGGACCCGCCUCACGGCCGCCGGAGGACCGCCGCAAGGCGUCCUCUGGCCCGCGUCUGUCGAUAGCCAACCCUAAACUCUGAAUCAAUCGUGUCAUAUGUCUAAGUCUAUGAUUAAAUUAUAAGCAAAACUUUCAACAACGGAUCUCUUGGUUCUG